Oncorhynchus tshawytscha (Chinook salmon) is the source of this 431-nucleotide long non-coding RNA. Lineage: Eukaryota; Metazoa; Chordata; Actinopteri; Salmoniformes; Salmonidae. The record is from Ensembl.
GGGUACCGGUACAGAGUCAAUGUGGAGGCUAUAUACAAGGGGUACCGGUACAGAGUCAAUGUGGAGGCUAUAUACAGGGUGUUACGGUACAGAGUCAAUGUGGAGACUAUAUACAGGGGGUACCGGUACAGAGUCAAUGUGGAGACUAUAUACAGGGGGUACCGGUACAGAGUCAAUGUGGAGGCUAUAUACAGGGGGUACCGGUACAGAGUCAAUGUGGAGACUAUAUACAGGGGGUACCAGAACAGAGUCAAUGUGGAGGCUAUAUACAGGGGGUACCGGUACAGAGUCAAUGUGGAGGCUAUAUACAGGGUGUACCAGUACAGAGUCAAUGUGGAGGCUAUAUACAGGGGGUACCGGUACAGAGUCAAUGUGGAGGCUAUAUACAGGGGGUACCGGUACAGAGUCAAUGUGGAGUCUAUAUACAGGGG